AAAAUAUAAAAAAUUUAAAAAAUUUGAACCAAGCGUUUUAUCAGAAAAAUUACACUGGUUAUAUAGCAGUUUGGCAAACACUAAUUUUGAUCAUUGAGAAGCUUAAUAUUCCAUUAACAACACAAUGUCAUUAAAACGUUUAGGUGAUUUUACAGAGUUAUCUCCCUGUAGUGUUAGGUACCACCUUAACUUAGCGAUAUAUUUGUAGGCAGCAGAUGAAAUUUUAAUAAAUUUCAAGAAACGUGUUAACAC
This 252-nucleotide long non-coding RNA is filed under the name Mytilus galloprovincialis (Mediterranean mussel). Lineage: Eukaryota; Metazoa; Mollusca; Bivalvia; Mytilida; Mytilidae. The record is from RNAcentral.